CCAACAAUAAUCUAAAACACCAAUGAGUGCCUAGAUCAUCCUCCUCUCCUCGCCAUGAUUCCACGGAUCACACUUUGCUUUUACCUGCAUCAAAGAAAGAGAUGCAUAAGUAUUUCAUAAAUACUUAGUGAGGGCGAUCCUCCCAUCUACGAGCUAUACACACAAGCAAUGAGAUAACACCCACAUAUAUAACAAAAACAAACCAUCCAGCAAGCUAAACAUCCAAUAACACAUCCAGUUCACCUACAAAUCAUCA
Molecule: long non-coding RNA, 256 nt
Filed under: Capsella rubella
Lineage: Eukaryota; Viridiplantae; Streptophyta; Magnoliopsida; Brassicales; Brassicaceae
Description: long non-coding RNA (CRUB_LNC004104)
Source: RNAcentral